AUGAGGAGCGAGGGGGUGAUCAAGGCCGGCGGAAGGGAGAGGUCGUCGUCGCCGUGGAGGUCGCUCCUUGGCGGCUGCCUGGGCGGCGCGGCGGGCGACCACGGGGCGAAGAAGAAGCCCCGCCCGCGCUCCGGCGGCGGCGGCGGGCUGCGGCGGCUGUCGUUCACGGACCUGAGCGGCGCGGCGGACGAGGACCUGUCCAUCUCCCUCGUGGGGUCCAACCUGCACGUGUUCACCGUCGCCGAGCUGCGUGCCGCCACGGGCGAGUUCGCGGACGACAACUUCCUGGGCGAGGGCGGGUUCGGCCCCGUGUACAAGGGCUUCGUCGGCGGCGGCGUCAAGCCGGGGCUCAAGCCGCAGGCCAUCGCCGUGAAGCUCUGGGACCCCGAGGGCGCGCAGGGCCACAAGGAAUGGCUGGCGGAGGUGAUCUUCCUGGGGCAGCUGCGGCACCCCAACCUGGUGAAGCUGGUGGGCUACUGCUGCGAGGACGCCCACCGCCUCCUCGUCUACGAGUACAUGCCCAACGGCAGCCUCGAGAACCACCUCUUCGUCAAACAGGUUCCUUCGGCGCUGUCGUGGUCGACGCGGCUCAACAUCGCCGUCGGCGCCGCGAAGGGGCUGGCGUUCCUCCACGACGCCGAGAAGCCGGUCAUCUACCGCGACUUCAAGGGCUCCAACAUCCUCCUCGACUCAGACAAGAAGCCGAAGCUGUCGGACUUCGGGCUGGCCAAGGACGGGCCGGAGGGGGACGACACGCACGUGUCGACGCGGGUCAUGGGCACCCACGGCUACGCGGCGCCGGAGUACAUCAUGACGGGCCACCUCACGGCGAAGAGCGACGUGUAUAGUUUUGGGGUGGUGCUGCUGGAGAUCCUCACCGGCCGGCACUCGGUGGACAAGACCCGGCCCAGCAGGGAGCAGAACCUGGUGGAGUACGCGCGGCCCGGGCUCAGGGACCCGCUCAAGCUGGCGCGCCGGAUCAUGGACCCGGCGCUGGAGGGCCGGUACCCGGCCGCCGCGGCGCAGAAGGCGGCCGCGGUGGCGCACCAGUGCCUGAGCAGCAGCCCCAAGAACCGGCCGGACAUGUCGGCCGUCGUGGAGGCGCUCGAGCCGCUGCUCUCCGUCACGGAGGACGUCGCCGUGGGGCCGGUGGUGCUGUUCGUGGCCGCGCCGGAGCCGGCGGCGGCGGAGGAGAAGGAGAGGAAGGAGCGGCCGUCGAGGACGGCGAGGGACGUCGGCGCGCACCACCGGCGGAGGCUCCGGUCGCCCAAGGGCAGCCCCAGGAAGCGAGGGGCCGGGCCGAAGGAGGAGUUCUGGGUGUGGCACGUGCCGGCCGAGGACGACAAGAAGGCGUGA
Molecule: ribosomal RNA, 1356 nt
Filed under: Triticum aestivum (bread wheat)
Lineage: Eukaryota; Viridiplantae; Streptophyta; Magnoliopsida; Poales; Poaceae
Description: partial small subunit ribosomal RNA
Source: RNAcentral